This 253-nucleotide ribosomal RNA is filed under the name uncultured bacterium. Its description in RNAcentral is "partial 16S ribosomal RNA". It matches the Rfam family "Bacterial small subunit ribosomal RNA", at positions 524 to 776 of the family's 1533-position model. The record is from RNAcentral.
UACGUAGGGUCCGAGCGUUGUCCGGAUUUAUUGGGCGUAAAGAGCGUGUAGGCGGCCUGACAGGUCUGCUGUGAAAACUCGAGGCUCAACCUCGAGAUGUCGGCGGAAACCGUCUGGCUAGAGUCCGGAAGAGGAGAGUGGAAUUCCUGGUGUAGCGGUGAAAUGCGCAGAUAUCAGGAAGAACACCUAUGGCGAAGGCAGCUCUCUGGGACGGUACUGACGCUGAGACGCGAAAGCGUGGGGAGCGAACAGG